Molecule: ribosomal RNA, 99 nt
Filed under: Tranzschelia discolor
Lineage: Eukaryota; Fungi; Basidiomycota; Pucciniomycetes; Pucciniales; Raveneliaceae
Description: partial 5.8S ribosomal RNA
Rfam family: 5.8S ribosomal RNA
About the family: 5.8S ribosomal RNA (5.8S rRNA) is a component of the large subunit of the eukaryotic ribosome. It is transcribed by RNA polymerase I as part of the 45S precursor that also contains 18S and 28S rRNA.
Source: RNAcentral
GAUAAGUAAUGUGAAUUGCAGAAUUCAGUGAAUCAUUGAAUCUUUGAACGCACCUUGCGCCUUUUGGUAAUCCAAGAGGUACACCUGUUUGAGUGUCAU